UACGUAGGGUGCGAGCGUUGUCCGGAAUUAUUGGGCGUAAAGAGCUUGUAGGUGGUUUGUCGCGUCUGCCGUGAAAAUCCGGGGCUCAACCCCGGACUUGCGGUGGGUACGGGCAGACUAGAGUGUGGUAGGGGAGACUGGAAUUCCUGGUGUAGCGGUGAAAUGCGCAGAUAUCAGGAGGAACACCGAUGGCGAAGGCAGGUCUCUGGGCCACUACUGACGCUGAGAAGCGAAAGCGUGGGGAGCGAACAGG
This 253-nucleotide ribosomal RNA is filed under the name uncultured bacterium. Its description in RNAcentral is "partial 16S ribosomal RNA". It matches the Rfam family "Bacterial small subunit ribosomal RNA", at positions 524 to 776 of the family's 1533-position model. The record is from RNAcentral.